UAAGCGGAGGAAAAGAAACUAACAAGGAUUCCCCUAGUAGCGGCGAGCGAAGCGGGAAGAGCUCAAAUUUAUAAUCUGGCACCUUCGGUGUCCGAGUUGUAAUCUCUAGAAGUGUUUUCCGCGUUGGACCGCACACAAGUCUGUUGGAAUACAGCGGCAUAGUGGUGAAACCCCCGUAUAUGGUGCGGACGCCCAGCGCUUUGUGAUACACUUUCAAUGAGUCGAGUUGUUUGGGAAUGCAGCUCAAAUUGGGUGGUAAAUUCCAUCUAAAGCUAAAUAUUGGCGAGAGACCGAUAGCGAACAAGUACCGUGAGGGAAAGAUGAAAAGCACUUUGGAAAGAGAGUUAACAGUACGUGAAAUUGUUGGAAGGGAAACGCUUGAAGUCAGACUUGCUUGCCGGAGCUUGCUUCGGUUUGCAGGCCAGCAUCAGUUUUCCGGGGUGGAUAAUGACGGUUUGAAGGUAGCAGUCUCGGCUGUGUUAUAGCUUUCCGUUGGAUACAUCCUGGGGGACUGAGGAACGCAGCGUGCUUUUUGCGAAAGACUCGUCUUUUUCACGCUUAGG
Molecule: ribosomal RNA, 563 nt
Filed under: Rhodotorula graminis
Lineage: Eukaryota; Fungi; Basidiomycota; Microbotryomycetes; Sporidiobolales; Sporidiobolaceae
Also listed under: 1 other name
Description: eukaryotic LSU rRNA
Rfam family: Eukaryotic large subunit ribosomal RNA
Source: RNAcentral